RNAcentral lists this ribosomal RNA (274 nucleotides) under uncultured bacterium. RNAcentral's name for it is "partial 16S ribosomal RNA". It matches the Rfam family "Bacterial small subunit ribosomal RNA", at positions 523 to 796 of the family's 1533-position model. The record is from RNAcentral.
AUACAGAGGGUGCAAGCGUUAAUCGGAAUUACUGGGCGUAAAGGGCGCGUAGGUGGUUAGUUAAGUCAGAUGUGAAAUCCCCGAGCUCAACUUGGGAAUUGCACCUGAAACUGGCUAACUAGAGUACAGUAGAGGAAAGUGGAAUUUCCGGUGUAGCGGUGAAAUGCGUAGAUAUCGGAAGGAACACCAGUGGCGAAGGCGACUUUCUGGGCUGAUACUGACACUGAGGCGCGAAAGCGUGGGGAGCAAACAGGAUUAGAAACCCCAGUAGUCC